RNAcentral lists this ribosomal RNA (480 nucleotides) under uncultured bacterium. Its description in RNAcentral is "partial 16S ribosomal RNA". It matches the Rfam family "Bacterial small subunit ribosomal RNA", at positions 28 to 523 of the family's 1533-position model. The record is from RNAcentral.
GACGAACGCUGGCGGCGUGCUUAACACAUGCAAGUCGAGCGAUGAAGCACCUUCGGGUGUGGAUUAGCGGCGAACGGGUGAGGAACACGUGAGGAAUCUGCCUUCCACUCUGGGAUAACUCCGGGAAACCGGGGCUAAUACCGGAUACUUUCAACUGGCGGCAUCGCCGGUUGAAGAAAGUUUUUCGGUGGAAGAUGACCUCGCGGCCUAUCAGCUUGUUGGUGAGGUAAUGGCUCACCAAGGCGACGACGGGUAGCCGGCCUGAGAGGGCGACCGGCCACACUGGGACUGAGACACGGCCCAGACUCCUACGGGAGGCAGCAGUGGGGAAUAUUGGGCAAUGGAGGAAACUCUGACCCAGCGACGCCGCGUGAGGGAUGAAGGCCUUCGGGUUGCAAACCUCUUUCAGCAGGGAAUAAGCGAAAGUGAAGGUACCUGCAGAAGAAGCACCGGCUAACUAUGUGCCAGCAGCCGCCGUAA